AGCCCGCAAUUGCUUCUCGCCUCUGCAGAGCAGCUGGGCAAUUGUAAAGAACCAGCAGCCAGUUCUGUUACUCAUUAAACAGCCCCUACUACAGAGGAAAUCUUCUUACCCACGUGGUCCUAACCUGGGGCGGAGGAAACCGGGCUAGAAGCGGCUCUAGGACUAACCCAAGGUCACGCCGCCAGGCAGGAUCCCCGGUCUGUCUGUCUGGCGGUGGCCCCGCGGCUGGGGCCAGCGGAGAGAAAUGACAGCGUGGAACCAGCCCUGGCCCGGUGGUCGGGAAUGUGGAGCUGGCACUGUCACUGUGUGUACCCUGGAUCUCUCUGGACGGCCUCGGCUUCCCCCCUGGGGAGUUUCUCUGGGACCUUCCUGAUCCUGGGAGUUCCCGCUUGCUGGGGCAAAGCCAGGAGCUCGCCCGAGGAGGGGAAGUGACUCAUUCACUUCGAGUCGCAGCUAAGUGGCCGAACUGCCUCAAACCGGCGCUGCACUCUGACCCCCAGGGGCCGGACCUGCCUGCCCCCGGCCGGUGCCCACUCUCCGUCUCAGGCGUCUUUCCUGGUCCUCUCCCUGCUUCCCGAACGCGCACUCUGGUGAGAGCACAGAGCCUGGGAAAGAAGACGACCUAGAGGCCCGGGCAGCCCAGCACCUCUGUUACUUGCUUCCUAAAGGGAACUCCAGUUCCUGAGAAAACAUGGGGUUGGGCCGGGAGUGGUGGCUCACGCCUGUAAUCCCAGCACUUUGGAAGGCCGAGGCGGAUGGAUCACCUGAGGUCAGGAGUUCGAGACCAGCCUGCCCAACAUGGUGAAACCCCGUCACUACUAAAAAUACAAAAAAUUAGCUGGACGUGGUGUCGCGUGCCUGUAAUCCCAGGUACUAGGCAGGCCGAGGCAGGAGAAUUGCUUGAACCCAGCGAAGGAUGCAGUGAGCCGAGAUCGCGCCAUUGCACUCCAUACUGGGUGACAAGAGUGAAACACACAAACAAAUCAAGGAAGGAAUUAAGGGUUUUAUUGAAAAUGAAAGUACGGCCAGGCGCAGUGGCUCACACCUGUAAUCCCAGCACUUUGGGAGGCCGAGGCGGGUGGAUUACAAAGUCAGGAGUUCAAGACCAGCCUAACCAAGAUGGUGAAACCCCGUCUCUACUAAAAGUAAAAAAAAAAAAAAAACAAAAAAAAAAACCUAGCCGGUCACAGUGGCAGGUGCCUGUAAUUCCAGCUACUUGGGAGGCUGAGGCAGGAGAACCACUUGAACCUGGGUGGCAGAGGUUGCAGUGAGCUGAGAUCAUGCCACUGCAUUCCAGCCUUGGUGACACAGUGAGACGCCAUCUCAAAAAAAAAAGGUAAAUGAAAGUACACUCCACAGUGUGGGAGCGGGCCUGAGCGUAGGGGCUCAAAGGCCCCAUUCCAGAAUUUUGGGGAGUUUCAAUGUCCUCCGCUUGGGGCACACACUAUGUAAAUGAAAGGGAUGAUGCAAAGUUACAAAGUCAUUUACUUGGCCUACGCAGAGGCUAUUUCCUGUCAUAGCUAAAGUGUGAAUCGGCCUUAUGUUCCCUGCCUCCAGACCCUAUUUUGCUGCCUCAGACUGAAGACUGAAACUGGCCUGGUUAGGAAGUUGCUAUUCUCUCUCUCUGAAGGUAGAUUAACAACUUAGUUUUAGUUUUGUUACCGGAAAAGGGUCCCAAUCCAGACCCCAAGAGAAUGUUCUUGGAUCUUGUGCAAGAAAGAAUUCGGGGCCAGGGUGAGUCCACAGAGUAAAGUGAAAGAAGCAAGCUUAUUGAGAAAGUAAAGGAAUAAAAGAAUGGCAAUUCCAUGGGCAGGGCAGCCUCUAGGGCUGCUGGUUGGCUAUUUUUAUGGUUAUUUCUUGAUCAUAUACUAAAUAAGGGUGGAUUAUUCAUGAGUUUUCUAGGAAUUCUUCCUUUUAGAACAUAUAGGGUAACUUCUAAAUGUUGCCAUGGUAUUUAUAAACUGUCAUGGUGCUGGUAGGAGUGUCGUUUAGCAUGAGAAUGCAUUGUAAUUAGCGAAUAAUGAGCAAUGAGGAAGACCAGAGGUAGUUUUCCUCACCUUGCUGGUUUUUGGCAGGUUUUGGCCAGUUUUGGCUGGCUUCUUUACUGCAUCCUGUUUCAUCAGCAAGGUCUUUGUAACCUGUAUCUUGUGAUACCACCUGCCAACCUUCUAUUUCAUCCUGUGACUAAGGAUGCCUAACCUCCUGGGAAUGCACUCCAGCAGAUCUCAGCCUCAUUUUACCCAGCUCCUAUUCAAGAUGAAGAGUCUCUGAGUCGACUCCUGCUGACAUAUUUCCUGACUCUACAACCCUUAGGAUUAAGGGUUCCCUUGUAAAAGGGAAGGGGGAAUAACCAAAUAACUCACCCCUUUCUUGGAAAACUCAGGAAUAAUCCACCCCUUGCUUAGCACAUAUUCAAGAGUAAUCAUAAAAAAUACCCACCAGCAGCCCUUGGGGAUGCUCUGCCUAUGGAGUAGCCACUCUUUUAUUCCCUUCCUUUCUUAAUAAACUUCCUUUUACUGUUCUCUGUGGACUCACCCCAAAUUCUUUCUUGUAGGAGAUCCAAGAACUUUCUCUAGGGCUCAGGAUCAGGACGCCUUUCCAGUAAGUUUGGUGACCUGAAACGUUAGCAUGGGUGACUUUAUUUUUAUUUUUAGUCUUGUCUUUUGGGGCCUAGUGCAAGAGCUUAGUCUAAAACAAUGGCCUCCUAUAAUUUGUGUUUAACAUUUGUCAGGUUAAAACCUUGUCAGUGUGACAAACUGGAAACAAAAUUGUGUCGGGCCACUACUAAACCACACCCAAAAUACCUGUGUCAUCAAUGUUUGCAAGCAGAGAGCAAAUGCAGCCCACCAAUGGCCACCUAGAGCAGCAGCUGCUAGAGGCAGGAAAGUCUGGAAGAGACCCAGGGCUUGCAGGCUCAGCCAGGAUCCCCCUGCUCCUCAACAAGGUCUUUGGGCUCUUUCAGAGAUGCAGUUGGCCCUGAGCUCUGAGAGGUGGGGAGGGAAGGGGCUGAGAGGCUGAAGGCCAGGCCACACCAGAUAGUGACACACCACUGCCCUUCAGGUUUCCCAAAUCUAAGUAACUUCAAACUCUUUGAAAUUCUCCCAAAGCUAAUGUGUCUACCUAAAAGAAAGAUGAGACAAAAUUAACAUAGAGAGUUUAUUUGUGCCCAGGUUGAGGACUGUAGCCCAGGACACACUUCUAAGUUGCCAUGGGGAGUGCUCCAAGAACAAAAAGGAGGCUCAAGUUUUUAAAGAAAAAAGAACAACUCAGGAGAUGGGGCGAUUGCAGAGUUGUCAGGAAUCCUCAUUGGUUUACAGAAAUAACAUUGGUUAGUGAUUGCCCACACAGUGUUGAACUAUAGGGUGGAUGGCAUCUUAUGGCUAAUUGGCCUCAGUUAUUCUACAGCCACAUAGCAAGUGGCUUCAAGAGGUAACCACUUAGCUGAAGGGGAAGUGAGCCAUGACUGCUGUUCUGUUCUAAAUGUUCUCUGGGCCUGAUAAUUUAAAGGCUCACCUUCCUCAGGAAAAGAAAUGUGUUUGUUGUUUGUUUGUUUGUUUUCUUUCUCAGAUAAUAUUUUAGAGAUAGUAGCUGAGGCUUCUUCUCUGUUUGUCCUCACUUCCCAAUUCCUCAUGCAAUUGCUCUUUUCUUUCCAAUCCAGCAGCCAUACAGAUUUCUAGAACACCCCUCAGAGAGGGCAGAAAUUGAGCCGCAGUGUUUUCUAAACAGCUGCCUGGUCCAUUCGUGGGUCAUGAAACCCAUGUGGUGGGUCACAGCUAGCAUUUUCAUUGUCAGUGAGACAGAAUGGAGUGAAAAAGCCUCUGCCUGCUUUCCACACCAGAGCACGUACUUUUAUCACACGAACUAUGACUCAGACACCACAAACCCAGACCAGGCCUCCAGGUCAGAAGUUGACUCCCCUGAGGCCUGUGGUGAGACUACAGCAUGACUCAGACCCCUGAGAUUUCAAAUUCUUGCCAAAAUACAAAAAGUGAGAUUCUUCCCGCCAACUCUCACUCAUCAUAUAGAGCUACUCAGUCCCCUGACCCACCCCCAGCUCAGAUAGGCUCACAGUGGCAGGCCCACUCCCCUGGCAGCUGAGUCCAGUCUGAUGAGCCAUCACUUUCCCAGGUUGCUGGUCCUAGUAGUCAACAAAGAGAGUCAAACUCUGUAAAAUAUUUGAAGAGAUUUAUCCUAAGCCAAAUGUGAAUGACCAUGGCCCGUGACACAGCAAACGGCCCUCAGGAGGUUCUGAGGACACGUGCCCAAGGCGGUCAGGGUGCAGCUUGGUUUUAUAUGUUUUAGGAAUGCAUGAGACAGCAAUCAAAUACAUUUAAGAAAUACAUUGGUUUGGUCCAGAAAGGCAGGACAACUCAAAGCGGGGUAGGGGGCAGGGUUCAAGGCUAUAGGUAAAUUUAGACAUUUUCUGGUUUACAAUUGGUUGAGUUUGUCUAAAGACCUGGAUUGAUAGAAAGGAAAUGUCCAGGUUAAGAUAAAAGAUUGUGGAGACCCAGGGUAUUUGAAGUCUUAUAGUGGCUGCCCUUAGAGACAAUAGAUGACAAAUGUUUCCUAUUCAGAUCUUUAAUAAAAGGUGCUAGACACUUAGUUAAUCUCUUUUUUUUUUUUUUUUUUUUGAGAUGGAGUCUCACACUCUCACCCAGGCUGGAGUGCAGUGGCGCGAUCUCGGCUCACUGAAAGCUCCGCCUCCCAGGUUCAUGCCAUUCUCCUGCCUCAGCCUCCCGAGUAGCUGGGACUACAGGCGCCCGCCACCACACCCAGCUAAUUUUUGUAUUUUCAGUAGGGACAGGGUUUCACCAUGUUAGCCAGGAUGGUCUCGAUCUCCUGACCUUGUGAUCCACCUGCCUCGGCCUCCCAAAGUGCUGGGAUUGCAGGCGUGAGCCACCGUGCCCGGCCAGUUAAUCUCUUUAAAAUUGGGAGAGCCUGGAAGAAAAAGCUCUAGCUAUGUUAAUAGAGAUUUUUUACAGAUGCAAAUUUCCCCCACAAAGGACAGCUUUGCAGGGCCAUUUCAAGAUAUGGCAAAGAAACAUGUUUUGGGAUAAAAUAUUUUUAUUUUCUUCCCUGUCUCGUAAUGUUAUGCCAGAGUCAGGUUGGAAAGUAAGUCACGAUAUAUAGGGUUAAAUAAAACCCAUCUCAUGAGAAUUCAUUGUUUAUAGGGCAUGACUCCCCAGACCCCUUAGAUAAGAAUUGGCAAGAUAAAAAAAAACGUCAGAGCUUAGUCCUCACAGUCAAUGGCUAGCCUCCAAGGAAGUGGAGGAUUCCCACAGGAUUCCAGCUGCCCAGAGGCUUCACAGGCAUAUCCAUGUUUACAGAAAAGAUACAGGCCAUGAGAUAUUUAUACAAAACACUUAGGAGUCACAGCCAGCUACCCAACGGAUGCCAAUGGCUGACUGGUUCUUGCCCUCUCAGUCUUCACCUUUAGGAGAGGUGGUGCUGGCAGGAUGUGGUAUUUCUCAUUCAGGGCCUCUGGAACCAUCUAAUCUAGGAAACACCCUUGUCUCAUGCCUUGCUGCCACACAGCUCCAUUUGCUCUCCAGUUUUCCAAGAAGCCUUCUACCUGACUGGUUUUGCUCUAAACCACUAUCUCAGACUGAAAUUCUUCACAAAUUCCACCCAGGAAUAAUAAGGGUUCAUUUCUGAACUGGACUCAGCAUGCCAUAUGACCCAUGGAGAUAUUUUCCUCAUGAGAUUUGACACAGGGGUCAUUGGCCAUGCCGCACCCUAGCUGAUGACUGGGCAAGUUACCAAAAACCAUCUGAGCCAGCCUCCUCGUCUACGCAGGGGAAUAAUAUGGUUCUGCAGGAUGGUUGAGGUCAGGGAAAAAUGUAUUCAAAUUAGCAAAUUCUUGCCAAAAUACAAAAAGCGAGAUUCUUCCCACCAACUCUCACUCAUCAUAUAGAACUACUCAGUGCCCCAUGUAUACAAAUGUAACAAGCCUGCAUGUUGUGCACAUGUACCCUAAAACUUAAAGUAUCAUAGUAAUAAAAUUUAAAAAAAAAGAAGGCUUUUCUGGUUCAUUGUUCUGUUUGUUAUUCUGCUGCUUAUGUUUAGAAAACACGCAGAGAGCUAGGAUGAGGCAUUCUUGGAGCCACCUCGUUAGAAAAAUGAAGUCUGCUGCCUUGCUUUCACAAUGGCUGAACUGGAAGAAGACCUAGCAACGCUGUUGUCCUUCCCACUUGACUGAGAGAUGAGGAGCUUGCAGCUGUAGCCUGGCACCACAUAACUGACGACGUGCUUCUCAGUGUCCAUGCUGAGUAUUGCUUGUGUAUGGUGUGAGGUAUGGAUCUAAUUUUCUCUUUUUCUCUUUUUUUCUAUCGAAAUGGCUGUAUACUUGUCCCAUGUAUUAAAAACUUUAUUUUCUCGGUCAUUAUGCGAUGCCACCUUCAUUAUACACGUAUUUACCUAUGUCUGUAGUUGUAUUAUUUUUUCAUCUUUUCCACUGACCUGUUUGUCAUUCAUGUGCCAGAACCACACUGUUUUAUUAUGAAGGCUUUUUGGUAUGUUUUACUUUUUAGUUGGCCUAGUCUCCCUUGUAGAUUUUCCUUUUUAACUGUUUUCAUUCUAUUCUUGCAUAUUUUCUUUUCUGUAGGGAUUUUUUUUUUUUUUUUUUUUUUUGACAGGGAGUCUCACUCUCUCGCCCAGGCUGGAGUGCAAUGGCACAAUCUCUGCUCACUGCAACCUCCUUCCAGGUUCAAGUCAUUCUCCUGCCUCAGCCUCCUGAGUAGCUGGGAUUACAGGCACCUGCCACUAUGCCUGGCUAAUUUUUGUACUUUUAGUAGAGACAGGGUUUCAUCAUGUUAAUCAGGCUGGUCUUGAACUCCUGACCUUAGGUGAUCCGCCCGCCUUGGCCUCCCAAAGUGCUGGGAUUAUAGGCGUGAGCCACCAAGCCUGACCUCUGUAGGGAUUUUAGUAUUGACUUCAAAAGGGUUAUUCAUAUUUUUAUUGGGAUUGUGUUAAAUUUAUAAAUUAACUGGCAUCCUUAUAAUGUUGCUAUCCUGGCUAAAGCAAGGGAUGUCUAGUUCAAGACUACUUUUAUGUCUUCUGGAGUGUUUUAAAAUUUUUUCUCAUGUAGAUUUUACUUGUUGAUAAAUUUAUUCCCAAAUAUUUAGUCUCCUUUUUUGUUACCAUAAAUGGAAUUUUCUCUACUAUUUUAUCAUCUAAAUGGUCAUUGUUUGUGUAUACAAAACUUGCAUUAUGUUGCAUACCAUAAAUAUAUACGAUUGUAUUUGUCAAUUAAAAAAUUUAUAUUGCAGAUUUCUGCAUAUUGAUCAUAUAUGCCAAUAACAUUGGUUUAUCUUAUAGUCUGAGUUAGUUUUGUUAUUUAUUUUUUAGGGUUUUCCAGAUAUACUGUGUUAUAAUUUUUAAAAGUUACUCGGGUUUUGUCUUUGGUUUUUGGCACACAACUCCUAAAACCUGUGGAAUCUCCAGAGUGAAAAAGAGUGUCAUUUAUACGAUAAUGAGAUGCCUUUUUUGGUUAGGAGCCCCUAGAUUAGCUUCAGGAUUAGGAAAAACCAAGAUACAGUUAAAGGGUUAGAACUUCAGACUGUUCUUUCACCAUGAAUGGUUUUGACACCCUUGUUUAAAAUCAACUGACUGUAGGCAUAUGAUGUUAUUUCUGGAAGCUCAGUUCUAUGCCAUUGGUGUAUAUGUCUCUCCUUAUGCCAGUACCACUCUGCCUCCAUUAGUAUAGCAUUAAGUGUGUAGAUUGUUUGGAGGAGUGUUGCCAUCUUAAUAUUAAGUCUUCCAAUCCAUGACCACAGAUGUCUCUGGAUUUACUCUGUAUUCUUCAAUUUCUUUUAAUAAUGUUUUGUAGUUUUUAGUGUACAAGUCUCCUCCUUAUUUAAAUUUAUUUCUAAGUAUUUUAUUCUUUUUGAUACUAUUGAAAAUGGAAAUGUUUUCUUAAUUUCCUUUUCAGAUUAUGCAUUGUUGAAGUAUAGAAAUGCAACUGAUUUUUGUGCAUUGAUUUUGUAUGCUGCAACUUUGCUGAAUUCAUUUAUUGGCCAUAGGCCAUAUAAUAGGGGUGUGUGUGUGUGUGUGUGUAUUCUUUAGGAUUUUCUGUAUACUGCACUGUAUAAGAUCAUUCCAUCUGUCUCAGUUUGUUCCUGCUGCUAUAACAAAAUACCUUAAACUUCUUAAUUAAUAAACAACAGAAAUUUAUUGCUCACUAUUCUGGAAGUUGGGAAGUCCAAGAUCAAGGGGCCAGCAGAUUCAGUGUCUGGUGGAAGAGUCACUGUCUGCUUCAAAUAUGGUGGCUUCUUUCUUCAUCUUCAAAUGGCAGUAGCGGCAAACAGGUUCUCUCAAGCCUCUUCUAUAAGGGCACUAAUCUCAUUUAUGAGGACUCUGCCCUCAUGACCUAAUGACUUCCUGAAGUCCCCACCUCUAAAUACUAUCUUAAUUGGGAAUUUGAAGUAGGGAGACACCAACACUCAAACUGUAGAACCAUUUGGAAAUAGAGAUAAUUCUACUUAUUUCUGUAUUUCCAGCUGGUAUGCCUUUUUUUUUCCUUCCCUAAUUGCAGUGCAUUGUUGAAAUAGAAGUGACAAAAGCAGGCUUUUUUUUUUUUUCUUUUUUUUUGAGAUGCAAUCUCGCUCUGUCCCCAGGCUGGAGUGCAGUGGCGCGAUCUCAUCUUACUGCAACCUCCACCUCCCGAGUUCAAGCAAUUCUCCUGCCUCAGCCUCCCAAGUAGCUGGGACUACAGGCACCCAGCCACCACACCUGGCUAAUUUUUUAAUAUUUUUAGUAGGGACGGGUUUCACCGUGUUGCCCAGGCUGGUUUCAAACUCCUGAGCUCAGGCAACCCACUUGCCUCAGCCUCCCAAAGUGCUAGGAUUACAGGCAUGAGUCAUAGCACCCAGCCAAAAGCAGGCAUUUUUAUCUGGUUCUUGAUCUUAGAGGGAAAGCCUUCAGCCUUUCAUCAUUGAUUUUGAUAUUAGCUGCAGGUUUUUCAUAACUGUCCUUUAUCAGGGUAAGGAAGUGCCCUUCAAUUCCUGGUGUGUUGAGUAUUUAACAUGAUAUUGGAUAUAUUGUGGGUGUAUGCUAUACAUACAUUUCUGGAUGAAUUUAGAUGAUUAUGGUUUUUUUUUCCUUUCAUUCCCUCAAUGUGAUUGAUUAAUUUAGCCAGCCUUGCAUUCUUAGGAUACAUCCCACUUGGUCAUGACAUUUAAUUCUUUUAAUAUGCUAGUGGAUUCAGUUUGACAGUAUUUUGUUAAAUAUUUUUGCAUCUA
RNAcentral lists this long non-coding RNA (9239 nucleotides) under Homo sapiens (human). RNAcentral's name for it is "non-protein coding lnc-SUN3-1:2". Lineage: Eukaryota; Metazoa; Chordata; Mammalia; Primates; Hominidae. The record is from RNAcentral.